UUAUAAUAAAAUUAUUGUUUUAAUAUUUUAAAAGAAAUUUUAUUUUAUUAUUAUUUAGAAAAAUUAUUUUUUAUUAUAGUUUAUUAGUAAAGUGAUUGAAUUUCUUUAUUAUUUUAAAAGAAAAAUUUAUUUUUUGUACCUUGUGGAUCAGGGUUUAUUAAUUAAAAUUUUAUAAUUUAGCUUUCUCGAAUUUAUAAGAUUUAACUAAUUAAUUAUUUAAAUGUUGAAUAAUUUUUUAUAAUAAUUAGUUAGAGGUGAUACGUUUUUCGUUUAUAAAUAUAUCUAGUUUUUUAAGAAAAAAAUUCAAUUUUAUUAUUAUUUAUUAAAUUUUAUUUUUUAAUUUUUAAUUUUUAGUAUUUAAUUUUUAAAGGGAUUAGCUUUUAAAAAUACUUUUAUAAUUGUAUUAAUUUUUUAAUGUUAUGUAUAAUUUGAAUUGUUAAUCUUUAAUAAAUUAAUAUUUAGGUAUUUAAAUUAAAAAUUUUUUUGAAUUUAAUUUUUUUAUUAAAAAAAAUCAUUUAAUAUUAAUUGUUUAAUAUAAUGAUAAAAUUAGUAAUAAUAAUUUAAAUGAGUAAUUUUUUUUAAGAUUAUGAAAAGGAAUUCGGCAAAUUUAUUUUUUGCCUGUUUAUUAAAAACAUGUCUUUUUGAUAAUAAUUUAAAGUCUAGUCUGCUCAAUGAUUAAUUAAAUAGCUGCAGUAUUUUGACUGUACAAAGGUAGCAUAAUAAUUAGUUACUUAAUUAGUAGCUUGAAUGAAUGAUUGAACAAGAAAGUUUCUGUCUUUUUUUAAGAUUUUUUGAAUUUUAUUUUUAAGUUAAAAUGCUUAAUUAUAUAUAAAAGACGAGAAGACCCCAUAGAGUUUUAUUUUUUUAUAUUUUAGUAUUAUUAUUUUUAAUUAAAAAUUAGUUGGGGUGACUAGAAGAUUAAAUCAACUCUUUUAAUUUCAAUCAUUAAUUUUUGAAUAAUAAGUCUAAUUUUAUUAAAUUUAAAUUAAAUUACCUUGGGGAUAACAGCGUAAUUCUUUUUUAGAGUUCUUAUCAAAUAAAGAGAUUGCGACCUCGAUGUUGGAUUAAAAUUUAUUUUAGGCGUAGGAGUUUAAAAAUUAAGUCUGUUCGACUUUUGAAAUUUUACAUGAUCUGAGUUUAAACCGGUGUAAGCCAGGUUGGUUUCUAUCUUUAUAAAAAUUUAAUUGUUUAGUACGAAAGGACCAAUUAUUAAAUAUAUUAUUUUUAUAUUAAUAAAAUU
Molecule: ribosomal RNA, 1240 nt
Filed under: Diaphanes nubilus
Lineage: Eukaryota; Metazoa; Arthropoda; Insecta; Coleoptera; Lampyridae
Description: 16S ribosomal RNA
Source: RNAcentral